This 254-nucleotide ribosomal RNA is filed under the name uncultured bacterium. RNAcentral describes it as "partial 16S ribosomal RNA". It matches the Rfam family "Bacterial small subunit ribosomal RNA", at positions 524 to 776 of the family's 1533-position model. The record is from RNAcentral.
CACGUAGGGACCAAGCGUUGUCCGGAUUUAUUGGGCGUAAAGAGCUCGUAGGCGGUUCGGUAAGUCGGGUGUGAAAACUCUGGGCUCAACUCAGAGACGCCACCCGAUACUGCUGUGACUUGAGUCCGGUAGGGGAGUGGGGAAUUCCUGGUGUAGCGGUGAAAUGCGCAGAUAUCAGGAGGAACACCGGUGGCGAAGGCGCCACUCUGGGCCGGUACUGACGCUGAGGAGCGAAAGCGUGGGUAGCAAACAGG